GGAGGGCAGGGCAGGGCAGGGCAGGGCAGGAGCACCCGGGGAGCAGCGGUAGCGGCCAGUCGAGCGCCCCGGGGCUGGGAGGGCUGCCCACCCCCCCGCCCGGCACUGCGGGGAAGGGCCGUGGGAGGCCCGGUGCCCCCCGCCGCUGCGGGCCCGGCUUAGAUCGGCGGCGGCCCCGGCGCGCUGUGGGCCCGGGCGGGGCGGCGGGGCGUUCUCCGCGCAGGACAGCGCUGCCCACCCGGCUCGGGGACUGGCGGCGGGAGGAGCGGGGCCUGGCAAGGUGACCUUGGCCGCCGCAGGGACCCCCGCUGGGCCCGCUCCCACGGCCGCCCCGGGCUCUUCUCCCCGGCCCGGCCCCGUCUUACCCGCGGUCCAGGUCGGGUUUGACCUCUGGUUGCUCUCUGGGUUGAAGAUGAGAGGUUUCCGUGGGAAAUCUCCCUCCGCGCUGGGCUCCGCGGCCGGCGGGACGCCUCCUGCCCCGAAUGAAUGGGCCCCGCACAGGCAUAACCGGGUCCCUCCGUGCCACGACCUUGCCUGCCUUCAGUUUCGCUAUGACAGCGGCUUGGUUUUCAAAAUCUGCUUCUGCAGAGCUGCUCGCAUCACUCAGUGUACGAGGUGGGCUGUGUUUAUUAAAAGCAAUACGCAGUGUGACACGCUGAUAGCUUUGGCAUGUGUUACUUAGCACAGUGUGUGCAGUUUGACAUUGAGAAGCUUUCCGUCCGGUGGCCCAGCCCUGCAGACAGUCGUGCCUUGGAGUAGGGGAACAGUUCCGUUGAUUUUCUUCCAGGUUUAUUUGUCCUUAAAGUUAGGACUAUGUAUAUGCUUGCUGUGCUUCAGAUCUGCAACAAACCAUAGCAUUUCACUUAAAGCUGUGAGUUUUAAGAAGGAUCGUAAUUGUGUAUGUGCCGUUCAGUGCUCUUCAUGGGACAGGCUGACAGGCCGACUAGACAGAGGUUGUAGCUUUACAAAAUGUGUAUACCAAAGCAAAUCCUGAAGUGCAGUGUAUAGAGUGAGAAGUGAAGUAUCUGACACGAAAGGUAUGUGUUCCAUGUUGGUGCAGAAGCCUCUUUUAGAGCCAUAAAUAAUAUCUGAGAAAUGUGAAUGUUUACUUCUUGUUGCUGUAGUGGCCUUAUGCUUGAAAGCUGAUGAGGAACUCAGGGUUUUAGUUGCCUAAUACUUUUCCAUUAGAAAAGAUGUUUAAUAAUUUUAAGUAAACUGAAACUUCCAUUGUUUAUAACAGGCCUUUGGAAAGUGUCAAGUGCUCCGGAGCAGUGUUUUGCCUUAUGAAAUUCUAUUCAGUAACUGAAGCGUCUGUGCUGGCAACCUCCUCCGUGGCAUUAACAACAAAUGACUCGGUAUGAACUUUGGAAGUCUGAACAACCCAGAAGUUGCUUCAUACUCCAGUAGUUUGUGACAGAAGACGAUGAUGGCCUUUAAAUGAGAACUUGCAAAACUUUAUCAACUCCUGUGUCCUCUCCAGCCUUCACAACCAUUUCUUACUUUUCAUCAGUAGAGCUCUGCAGAGAAGAGCUGGGGAAGGAACUGUGUCUUCUUCCAUCCUACCUGCUUCAAACCCUGUUUAAAGGAUUGGUUUGUUUGUUUAACUGAUUGAUAGUUCAUGCGUGUUUAUUUGGAAAGACAAUUACUCACGAAGGACUGAUAGAGUUGUUUUUUCUCUGUGAGGCUAUAAUUUUGGACACAUCAUUGUUAUAUGCCAUUUCUGGGGAACAGGGAGGCAAUAAAGGGUAUGUGUGUAAGGGGAAGGAGAUUUGUGUGCCCGUGCGUGUUGGUUGGUUUUGUAACUGUUGUAAUUUUAAAUGAGUUGAACACUAAUUUACCUGAUAUUGAAAGGUAAUCCUAGGAAAGCUGUUUGCUUCUUGACUUGUGUGUUAAGCUGAUGUGCUGAAGUUAAUUUUUUUUUUUUUCAGGAGAUAGAUGUUUCAUGUAUGUCUGUGAUUGACCUAAAUUCAGCCUGGAAGCUUGUAAAUAACCCAGUGUAGUAAUGUUAAUUUUCCACUAAUCCUCUGUUUUGACAUCUAAAAAUAAAAUGUUUCUAAUUUCCA
Tyto alba (common barn owl) is the source of this 2063-nucleotide long non-coding RNA. RefSeq lists it as uncharacterized. The transcript has 3 exons. Lineage: Eukaryota; Metazoa; Chordata; Aves; Strigiformes; Tytonidae. The record is from RefSeq and is a predicted model, not a curated record.